This 72-nucleotide transfer RNA is filed under the name Candidatus Woesearchaeota archaeon. RNAcentral's name for it is "tRNA-Arg". It matches the Rfam family "tRNA". Rfam says of the family: Transfer RNA (tRNA) molecules are approximately 80 nucleotides in length. Their secondary structure includes four short double-helical elements and three loops (D, anti-codon, and T loops). Further hydrogen bonds mediate the characteristic L-shaped molecular structure. tRNAs have two regions of fundamental functional importance: the anti-codon, which is responsible for specific mRNA codon recognition, and the 3' end, to which the tRNAs corresponding amino acid is attached (by aminoacyl-tRNA synthetases). tRNAs cope with the degeneracy of the genetic code in two manners: having more than one tRNA (with a specific anti-codon) for a particular amino acid; and 'wobble' base-pairing, i.e. permitting non-standard base-pairing at the 3rd anti-codon position. The record is from RNAcentral. Lineage: Archaea; Nanobdellati; Candidatus Woesearchaeota.
GGGCCUAUAGUUUAAUGGAUAGAACAGUAGCCUUCGGAGCUUCUGAUCGGGGUUCGAAUCCUCGUAGGCCCG